GAUUAACGCUGGCGGCGUGCCUAACACAUGCAAGUCGAGCGGCAGCGAGUUUUACACUGACUUCUGGAAGCUUCUAGUUGUAAGAGAAGAUUUAUUCAAGAAUUUUGUGUAAAAUGUCGGCGAGCGGCGGACGGCUGAGUAACGCGUGGGAACGUACCCCAAAGUGAGGGAUACCGCAUCGAAAGGUGUGCUAAUACCGCAUAUGGUCUUCGGAUUAAAGCCUUCGGGCGCUUUGGGAACGGCCUGCGUAAGAUUAGAUAGUUGGUGGGGUAAUGGCCUACCAAGGAGAAGAUCUUUAACUGGAAUGAGAGGAUGAUCAGUCAGACUGGAACUGGGACACGGGCCAGACUUCUACGGGAGGCAGCAGUGAGGAAUCAUCCACAAUGGGCGAAAGCAUGAUGGAGCAACGCCGCGUGCAGGAUGAAGGCGUUCGGGUUGUAAGCUGCUUUUAUAAGUGAGGAUUAGGACAGUAACUUAUGAAUAAGGAUCGGUAAACUACGU
Molecule: ribosomal RNA, 501 nt
Filed under: uncultured bacterium
Lineage: Bacteria
Description: partial 16S ribosomal RNA
Rfam family: Bacterial small subunit ribosomal RNA
Source: RNAcentral